GAUCCCCUCUCCGUUGCCAUCUAUCCGGGUCUUAGAACCUAAGUUAGCCCUACAACUUAAUGAUAAUUUUGAGAUGGUGAUUGACUAACAGGAAGCGGCCUAAGCGUUGGAAUCAGAUCAGUCCAACACGUGGGUCGGUGUCCUUCCGUUACAGAGGCCUACCAGCCUAUAACGGAAAUAAAAAAGGCCCAAAUAAGAUUUUGGAGCUUUAUCAUAGAUUAAGCCCUUAUAAAAAUCCAAUACGAUAAGAGCCCGUGAUCAACGAACCUGUUAAGUAAAGUUGUUCUGAAGUCCCACAUUGACACACAGAAGAAGCGCAGGGCAAAGAGAUGGCUAUAAAAUAGACUGCUGUUGACUUAAGAACUCAUACCUUUCUCGGCCUUUUGGCUAAGAUCAAGUGUAGUAUCUGUUCUUAUCAGUUUAAUAUCUGAUACGUGGGACAAUGUCCCACAUGAUAUUAAAUUAAUUUUUUGAGGGGAAGGGUUCACCACGGUGGCUUGCCACUGGAGCCCUCAAGCGUCGCCCUUGCGUUGCACUACUGCUCGGGCCUGGCGUACCCCUCCAAAUAUAGUCUAAUUGUUGGGAUAUCCAGUGAUGGCGAAAGCAGUCGACAAAGGUUUGUUCUAACCUUGACUACUGAUGAUCAAAAGAAAGGAUACGGAAGAUUACCUAGUUCCUCUUCCAAAACAUUUAGCGGAAGGAAUUAUCAUUGCUUUCUUGCUGUUCAAAUUGCUAAGGUAAUCAGUUAUUCUUCACAAUAUCGAUGAAUACGUACGUUCGCGUUUAGUUUUUAACUCUGGCAUUUUUGAAUCUCUGUGCGGUAAUAUGUUGAAACAUGCUCCAUUGCGUACUGGAUUCUGAACUCCUUUCAAGUACCCAUUGCCUCCUCUGCUACAAUUUUUGAAGGUAUAUGCUCAUACAGAGGAUGGGUGGAUCAUUUGGGUCCUCUUUUACAUGAUCUGGGAGUUUGCUUGGCACCUGAACAGCUAACCUCUUGGGCUAUGUUCUUGACAAAGAUCUCAAUUUAAAUCGAACCAUCUCUUCCGAUUGAAUCAAUACUAUAAAUAAAUAAAAUUUUAAGCCUAAUAACUAAUUUUAUAACUAAUAUGAUUAACAAUAUAAGAGUUUAAUCUGAUUUUUAUGCUUAUAAUUUUUAUCCCUAAGCUUUAUUGGGACUUUAACUGGGGAUCUUACACAAGUCAAGAUACCCAUCGGGAGUACGAUUUCAAUAUUAAUCAUGCCCUAAACUUAUAACUUGAUUAUCCCACACAAAAUCCCGCGCUGCUCUCGAGAGAGAAACACUAGACUGGAGGCGGCAAGGGAAAAAAAAAAACAGAACCCAUAAUAAUAUGCUCCAAUGAAAACAAUAAAAGAGUAUAAACAUUAUACUGUGCUGUGAAAAUCUCACACAAUCCAAAGCAGCGAUUGGACAUAUCGAUUUAGCAUGCCCCAUUAAUUCGGGGAAGCAUUUAUACGCCGGCCAAGUGGCCAACACAACGCAGGUUAACAUUGUCAGAGACUACAUCAUAGUUACUACCCAAACUUUGAUAAAAUAUAUUUCCAACUAUUUAAGUUUAAAAAAUCUAUUUAUUUACCCAUCAACCAUUUUCAUUAAUAAAACUAUUUGGCUUCAAAUUAAGUUACUAUUUUAUCCUCUUGUCGUCAUCCACCUGUCUAGCUCAAUUCAAUCGAAAUCAAAUCAUUGUUCUCUUGUCGUUGUUUAUAUUGAAACUUGUUUUCUUCUACUCAUGUCAUCUUCAUCAAUAACAUUGUAAUAUGUUUGUUUGAAUUAGAUCUUGUUGAUUUAGUAUGCUUUAUGACCCUAAGUUUAUGUUGCUAUGUGAAAUUACUAGUUACAACUUUCAUGUUUGAUGAAACACCACUCUAUGAUCUCUAACAUCCACCAUUUGUCGUCUUUGA
This is a long non-coding RNA of Mangifera indica (mango), 1920 nucleotides long. RefSeq lists it as uncharacterized. The transcript has 2 exons. Lineage: Eukaryota; Viridiplantae; Streptophyta; Magnoliopsida; Sapindales; Anacardiaceae. The record is from RefSeq and is a predicted model, not a curated record.